RNAcentral lists this long non-coding RNA (275 nucleotides) under Homo sapiens (human). Its description in RNAcentral is "HSALNT0362503". The record is from RNAcentral. Lineage: Eukaryota; Metazoa; Chordata; Mammalia; Primates; Hominidae.
UGUCACCCAGGCUGGAGCACAGUCGCGCAAUCUCAGCCCACUGCAACCCCCGCCUCCUGGGUUCAAGCGAUUCUCCUGCCUCAGCCUCUCGAGUAGCUGGGACUACAGGCAUGCACCACCACACCCAGAAAAUGGAGACUCCAGCAUGGAAAAUGGCAGAGCUUCAGGAUGAAACUGGAACUCUGGAUCACUGCUUGAUGAAGAAAGGCACACCAGUCAGGACACCUGUUUUUGACUUUAUGAGCCAGAAAUAAAGUUGUAUUGUGUAUGCCAGG